This 561-nucleotide ribosomal RNA is filed under the name Fusarium avenaceum. RNAcentral describes it as "eukaryotic LSU rRNA". The stretch from base 178 to 331 matches the Rfam family "5.8S ribosomal RNA". Lineage: Eukaryota; Fungi; Ascomycota; Sordariomycetes; Hypocreales; Nectriaceae. The record is from RNAcentral.
CGUCAGGCGGACGCGGAGGGACAUUACCGAGUUUACAACUCCCAAACCCCUGUGAACAUACCUUAAUGUUGCCUCGGCGGAUCAGCCCGCGCCCCGUAAAACGGGACGGCCCGCCAGAGGACCCAAACUCUAAUGUUUCUUAUUGUAACUUCUGAGUAAAACAAACAAAUAAAUCAAAACUUUCAACAACGGAUCUCUUGGUUCUGGCAUCGAUGAAGAACGCAGCAAAAUGCGAUAAGUAAUGUGAAUUGCAGAAUUCAGUGAAUCAUCGAAUCUUUGAACGCACAUUGCGCCCGCUGGUAUUCCGGCGGGCAUGCCUGUUCGAGCGUCAUUUCAACCCUCAAGCCCUCGGGUUUGGUGUUGGGGAUCGGCUCUGCCUUCUGGCGGUGCCGCCCCCGAAAUACAUUGGCGGUCUCGCUGCAGCCUCCAUUGCGUAGUAGCUAACACCUCGCAACUGGAACGCGGCGCGGCCAUGCCGUAAAACCCCAACUUCUGAAUGUUGACCUCGGAUCAGGUAGGAAUACCCGCUGAACUUAAGCAUAUCAUAAAGCCCGGAGAGAG